Molecule: ribosomal RNA, 570 nt
Filed under: uncultured bacterium
Lineage: Bacteria
Description: partial 16S ribosomal RNA
Rfam family: Bacterial small subunit ribosomal RNA
Source: RNAcentral
UGGGGAAUUUUGGACAAUGGGCGAAAGCCUGAUCCAGCAAUGCCGCGUGUGUGAAGAAGGCCUUCGGGUUGUAAAGCACUUUUGUCCGGAAAGAAAUCCUUGGCUCUAAUACAGUCGGGGGAUGACGGUACCGGAAGAAUAAGCACCGGCUAACUACGUGCCAGCAGCCGCGGUAAUACGUAGGGUGCAAGCGUUAAUCGGAAUUACUGGGCGUAAAGCGUGCGCAGGCGGUUUGCUAAGACCGAUGUGAAAUCCCCGGGCUCAACCUGGGAACUGCAUUGGUGACUGGCAGGCUAGAGUAUGGCUGAGGGGGGUAGAAUUCCACGUGUAGCAGUGAAAUGCGUAGAGAUGUGGAGGAAUACCGAUGGCGAAGGCAGCCCCCUGGGCCAAUACUGACGCUCAUGCACGAAAGCGUGGGGAGCAAACAGGAUUAGAUACCCUGGUAGUCCACGCCCUAAACGAUGUCAACUAGUUGUUGGGGAUUCAUUUCCUUAGUAACGUAGCUAACGCGUGAAGUUGACCGCCUGGGGAGUACGGUCGCAAGAUUAAAACUUAAAGGAAUUGACGGGG